RNAcentral lists this ribosomal RNA (390 nucleotides) under uncultured bacterium. Its description in RNAcentral is "bacterial SSU rRNA". It matches the Rfam family "Bacterial small subunit ribosomal RNA", at positions 28 to 417 of the family's 1533-position model. The record is from RNAcentral.
GACGAACGCUGGCGGCGUGCUUAACACAUGCAAGUCGAGCGGUAAGGCCCUUUCGGGGGUACACGAGCGGCGAACGGGUGAGUAACACGUGGGUGACCUGCCCUCAGCUCUGGGAUAAGCCUGGGAAACCGGGUCUAAUACUGGAUAUGACUCCAUGACGCAUGUUGUGGGGUGGAAAGCCUUGUGCGGCUGAGGAUGGGCCCGCGGCCUAUCAGCUUGUUGGUGGGGUGANGGCCUACCAAGGCGACGACGGGUAGCCGGCCUGAGAGGGCGACCGGCCACACUGGGACUGAGACACGGCCCAGACUCCUACGGGAGGCAGCAGGUGGGGAAUCUUGCGCAAGUGGGCGAAAGCCUGACGCAGCGACGCCGCGUGAGGGAUGACGGCCU